RNAcentral lists this ribosomal RNA (405 nucleotides) under uncultured bacterium. RNAcentral describes it as "partial 16S ribosomal RNA". It matches the Rfam family "Bacterial small subunit ribosomal RNA", at positions 29 to 526 of the family's 1533-position model. The record is from RNAcentral.
AUUGAACGCUGGCGGCAGGCCUAACACAUGCAAGUCGAACGAGUGGCGGACGGGUGAGUAAUGUCUGGGAAACUGCCCGAUGGAGGGGGAUAACUACUGGAAACGGUAGCUAAUACCGCAUACCAUCGGAUGUGCCCAGAUGGGAUUAGCUAGUAGGUGGGGUAAUGGCUCACCUAGGCGACGAUCCCUAGCUGGUCUGAGAGGAUGACCAGCAACACUGGAACUGAGACACGGGCCAGACUCCGACGGGAGGGAGAAGGGGGGAAUAUUGCAAAAUGGGCGCAAGCCUGAUGCAGCCAGGCGGCGUGUAUGAAGAAGGCCUUCGGGUUGAAAAGUACUUUCAGCGAGGAGGCGUGACUGGCAGAAGAAGAACCGGCGAACUCCGUGCCAGAGCCGCGGUAAUUC